RNAcentral lists this ribosomal RNA (369 nucleotides) under uncultured eukaryote. RNAcentral describes it as "partial 18S ribosomal RNA". It matches the Rfam family "Eukaryotic small subunit ribosomal RNA", at positions 592 to 975 of the family's 1831-position model. The record is from RNAcentral.
CAAUAGCGUAUAUUAAAGUUGUUGCAGUUAAAAAGCUCGUAGUUGGAUUUCUGGUCGGAAGCUCCUGUCCUCUGAUGAGCGUACAAGUGCGUCCUACCAUCCUUCUGUUAACCUUUAAGGCUUUCGCGGCUUUCUAGGGGCUCAGAUAUUUUACCUUGAGAAAAUUAGAGGGUUUCAGGCAGGCUAGCGCCGGAAUACAUUAGCAUGGAAUAAUGGAAUAGGACUUUUGCCUCUUCUGUUGGUCAUGAGGCUCGAGUAAUGAUUAAUAGGGAUAGUUGGGGGCAUUAGUACUUAACUGUCAGAGGUGAAAUUCUCGGAUUUGUUAAAGACUAACUUAUGCGAAAGCAUUUGCCAAGGAUGUUUUCAUUA